This 305-nucleotide ribosomal RNA is filed under the name uncultured bacterium. Its description in RNAcentral is "bacterial SSU rRNA". It matches the Rfam family "Bacterial small subunit ribosomal RNA", at positions 337 to 640 of the family's 1533-position model. The record is from RNAcentral.
CCCUACGGGGCGCAGCAGUGAGGAAUAUUGGUCAAUGGUCGGGAGACUGAACCAGCCAGGCCGCGUGAGGGAUGAAGGUACAGAGUAUCGUAAACCUCUUUCGUCAGGGAACAAAGGCGGGGACGUGUCCCCGGAUGAGUGUACCUGAAGAAAAAGCAUCGGCUAACUCCGUGCCAGCAGCCGCGGUAAUACGGAGGAUGCGAGCGUUAUCCGGAUUUAUUGGGUUUAAAGGGUGCGCAGGCGGUCUGUUAAGUCAGCGGUCAAAGCCCGGGGCUCAACCCCGGCCCGCCGUCGAAACUGGCAGG